GGGGUUAGCUCAGUUGGGAGAGCGCCGCGUUCGCAAUGCGGGGGCCGUCUGUUCGAACCAGAUCAGCUCCACCA
RNAcentral lists this transfer RNA (74 nucleotides) under Rhizobium laguerreae. Its description in RNAcentral is "tRNA-Ala". It matches the Rfam family "tRNA". Rfam says of the family: Transfer RNA (tRNA) molecules are approximately 80 nucleotides in length. Their secondary structure includes four short double-helical elements and three loops (D, anti-codon, and T loops). Lineage: Bacteria; Pseudomonadati; Pseudomonadota; Alphaproteobacteria; Hyphomicrobiales; Rhizobiaceae. The record is from RNAcentral.